CCUGCCCUCCGCCACCUACCUACCUCUUCCUCGGGAUCCCUCCCGAUCUCUCUCCCAACCAACCGGCUGCCACUAUCUCCCUCAUCUUGCAUUCCCGACCAACCCACACACCUCGCCUGGUCUUCCCUGCCUCGGCUGUGUGACCCCGACGGGCCACCCGAACCUGCUGGAGUCGUCGUCGCCGGCAGAAAGCCAGCAGCGCCCGGAUCCAGGCUGCAACAAGCGGAGCCUCGACGCUCGUCCGCCAGAGCAUGCCCCGCCUUGACCUCGGCGGUGACCAUCGGCGCUGCAACACAACGAUAGGAGUUCCAUCCCCGAACGCCAUGGCCGCCUACGACCUGAACUCCUCCUUCACCCGCGAGUCGCCAAGGAUCAGUGCAUGCCACCUCCGCUCCUCCUCACCUUGUCCGCGUCGCCGGGAUCGCGUCAAGUCCGCCACCGUCGUCCUCUCUCGGGAACGAGCUCUAUGCAUGCGUCCUGUGCUGCCUCCUCGAACGAGCAGACGCGCUGUCACGCCCUCUGCCAUGGAGCUCGCCUCCAUCGUCAGCAGCAGCACCUGAGCUCCUCCGCCCUGCCGUACUCUGCCAUGGUUGGCCUCGUCACCGCGCCGCUCCCGCGACAACCAGCGGCGCCCUGCCUUGUCGCCGUCGGCAAGCCCCUCGGGAAGCUUCCGGUGGAGCAGCUCGCUGCCGGGAUACCCCUCCUCGACCUGCAUUGCGCCCGGUUCCUCGCUCGCCGUCCUUCGCCGCCUAGAGCUUCUUCACUCGGAGACCUCCUUCGUCUCGUCCGCGUCGCUGGCGCCCAUCCCCAAGUCCCUCGGCAGCCUCUGUUUUCCCCUGCCAUCACACCUUCAUUCUGUCUCUGAUGAAGGAGACGACUAGCAGCCAAGUCCAGCGCCUGCGUUGACCGCGCCCCCUCCAUCUCCUCGUUCGAUCCACCAAGGCCCACACCAACACCGCCUCUGCAGCCUGCUCCACUGACCGGGCCAGGCCCAACGUGAGCAUCCGCCCAGCCCCUGAACCGUGCACUGUUGGGCCAGCCAGAACCGGCCCAGUGUAUUUUUUUCCUGCCAGCGAAUUUACCUAUUAUUCCAGAGAACACCAGUUUGCAGAAAAGUCCCUCUAGAUCAUGCAUUUCAUAUCUCACAAACUAUGCCUCAUAUGUAAAAACUUUAAAUAUGAAAAGUGCUUAGAAUUUCAUCUAGUUUCAUAAUAUGCUGCUUUCAUGCAUGUUU
Molecule: long non-coding RNA, 1234 nt
Organism: Triticum urartu
Lineage: Eukaryota; Viridiplantae; Streptophyta; Magnoliopsida; Poales; Poaceae
Source: RefSeq, a predicted model, not a curated record